GACGAACGCUGGCGGCGUGCCUAAUACAUGCCAGUAGAACGCUGAAGAGAGGAGCUUACUCUUCUUGGAUGAGUUGCGAACGGGUGAGUAACGCGUAGGUAACCUGCCUUGUAGCGGGGGAUAACUAUUGGAAACGAUAGCUAAUACCGCAUAACAAUGGAUGACACAUGUCAUUUAUUUGAAAGGGGCAAUUGCUCCACUACAAGAUGGACCUGCGUUGUAUUAGCUAGUAGGUGAGGUAAUGGCUCACCUAGGCGACGAUACAUAGCCGACCUGAGAGGGUGAUCGGCCACACUGGGACUGAGACACGGCCCAGACUCCUACGGGAGGCAGCAGUAGGGAAUCUUCGGCAAUGGGGGCAACCCUGGCCGAGCAACGCCGCGUGAGUGAAGAAGGUUUUCGGAUCGUAAAGCUCUGUUGUAAGUCAAGAACGGGUGUGAGAGUGGAAAGUUCACACUGUGACGGUAGCUUACCAGAAAGGGACGGCUAACUACGUG
RNAcentral lists this ribosomal RNA (497 nucleotides) under uncultured bacterium. Its description in RNAcentral is "partial 16S ribosomal RNA". It matches the Rfam family "Bacterial small subunit ribosomal RNA", at positions 28 to 507 of the family's 1533-position model. The record is from RNAcentral.